Molecule: long non-coding RNA, 2661 nt
Organism: Pogoniulus pusillus (Red-fronted tinkerbird)
Lineage: Eukaryota; Metazoa; Chordata; Aves; Piciformes; Lybiidae
Exons: 3
Source: RefSeq, a predicted model, not a curated record
CAGAGAACACGUAGGGGCAAGUAGAACAUAAAACCACAAAUGUGAGAAUGUUAACUAUAAACCCAGCAUGAGGGAGUACAAAAAAAAAGGUAAUUAAAUAGCUUGCUGAAAGCAGAUGAAAGGAACUAAUGAACACCUUCGAACACAGCCUCAGCAAAGGUGUACCACCAGGGAACCAUGACUGCAGGCUUAUAUGUGGCAGAGAAUUAAAAUGAGGUUUUCAGAUAUGGCCAGACUGCUAAAAUCCAUGGGUGAGUUACCUGCUUCUGUGCUCUUACAACUGGGGAUGUUCUCAUAUGUUUUCCAGAGGUGAGACAUGCAGGCAAUAAGUGGUAGUAAAGGUAAACAUUUCCACUCCCAAACACUGUUUCAUGACCAGUUUGCUUUAGAAAUUACCUUAUUGCCUAAAUGAGCCAUGCACCACUCAGGCAUGAAGAGGACUAUGUCCCACUAAGCCUUAGAAAGGCCUGGAAAAUCCCAAACCAGCAAGUGGGGUGUCUGUGCUGGUCAAAUUGGAUAAAACCACCAAUCAAGUUAGCAGAUAACAUGCCAUUAGAUGUAACUAAUCUUGGGCUGUGAUUUUUGUCAGGGAGUCUCAUCUCUUGCUUGACUAAAGCCCUUAGAAUAACUGUAGGGUAUUGCUGACUAACAAAGUCCUUGGAUUCCCAAGAGGCUUUUCAAUGACAUCAGCUUUGUGAAGGGCAGGCUCUGUUCUGCAGGGGUGCAGUAGGAAGUGGUAAGUUGUGUCAAGGAAGCGGUGAGCUCUCUCAAGAGUGUGCAGGGAUGCACGGAGUUAGGAAGAGAGGUGAACAGUGAGCUGCCUUUGCUACUGCAGUGACUCAGCACAACCUCAGGUGAAACCAGGAAAAGUUGCAGAACAGCCUCCUGGAGGCUGGCUUGUGGGAAGCAGAGCAGCACGUUUGGGAAACCUUCUAGAGCAGACAUGAAGAAAGGCAGAGGGAAGUGGUCUAAGCUGUGGUGAGCUUUCUGUCAGUCUGGGAGAGGCUGCAGAUAGUGGCUUGGAAAUGUCAGUUCAGCACCUGCCACAAAGGAAACUCUGAAAGUCCUCCAGAGCCAAAGAUCCAGUCACUGAGGACAAAUCCAUCACAGACCUGGAGUCUUCCAUGCAGCCUGUGUUGGAAAUUGCCCAUCUCACAAACUACAGGGGAAGAAGAAAAGCUGCCUGCAGAUCUGGAGAAGUUUGUUUCAGUGCAGAGCAACUGGGGCUCUUUAGCCUGGAAAUGGAAGUAUAUGUCAGGCUGCUACACUGUGAGCAGUGUGAGGAACAUGGAGAAGCAGUAAUGUUCUUAGAGAACAUUAGAGGACAGGGAUAUGAUUUCUCUAUUCUCAGACCUUGCCCAUACAUGUGAUCCUUUUCCUCUGUCCUUGACAAAGCCAAGAAGAAAUUAAGAUAAUAGAGAGAGCUAAAGAGCUGAAUUAGGAAGGCAAGUGUUAGGGCCUGCCACAAGUCUGAGACCACAGGCAGUGCCCCAAAGGUUCUUCUGCCCAGAGCUUAAAGAGAUACCAAUCUUAGUAGAAGCUGCUUAUCUGGGCAAAAGUGGUUUUCAGUAAAUGCUAGACUGAGAUCUAGAAACCACAGUGUCCUUCACCAGAUAUUAAAUCAGAAGUCCUUGGAGAGAGCAAACGUUUGAGCAGUGGUCUCUGUGUGGUGCUGCUUUACAUACCCUUGCUUUCUCUUUAGCAGUAGUGAGAGGAUGAGGCUGUUUUCAUCUGGAGCACAGCCUGUGAGGAAGCAAGUGGCCAGGAAGAAUGGGUGAAAUUCUGCAUGAAACAGCAAAGAAACUUCUGCUUGCUUUGCUCCAAAUUUCAGUGGGCAAGAGGAGCCUGGAGAGAUAGGACUAGAGUGUAGCAAAUAAUUCUCAUGUCACUUUGCUCAACUCUGCUUUCCUAGACAAAGACACCACUGCUGUUCUUAGUCAUCUCUAGCCAAGACCCAGAGGCUUGCUCCAGGGCUCAGAACAAAUAUGUAGCUCAGCCAUGGACUGAUCCCAGUCCCUAGUCCAUGCGCUGCUUCCCCAAGGGUUGGCUGAAUGCAUGAGCUGAUAAAGCAGGGCUAACUUGCAUGUGCUGUACAUCUCGUAGGAGGUUUCAGCAUUCUCUUUGGCCAGUGAUGUCUUCUCUUUGAUGAGUCAUGGGUGAGUAAAUCACUCCAGUGCUGUCUCAUUUCAGUUUGAACUCUGGAAAGAAAGGUAGUUCAAGGAGUAAGUCUUGGAUGUCUCAUUACAAAAUAGGCUGGGUUUUGUGAGGCUGUUUAAUACAGAGAUCCCCAGGGCAUAAAGUUACAUGCCUUUUAGAAUGAGCUACAGUCCAUAGGAUUCAGAUACUGCUUCUCAGAAGCUCUCUUUAUCCCCAAACCCCCCAGUCUGAAGGCAUGGGUGGGGUGCAACUAUCUGGCCUUCUUCUACAGUGACCUGUAACUGUGUAGGACAUUCAGAAGCAUUUUGCCUGGGCUGGCCUCUGGUCUGUGCUUUCCUUCCCUGCCAUGCUUUGACAAGGCAGAUCUGCAAGAGAAGAGAACUGAUUCCUUCCUUCCAAAGCAAGCCUGACUUCAACCAGCUAAGGUGGCCAGCACCAGAACAAGAGGACACAGCCUCAGGCUGCGCCGGGGAGAUUUAGGCUGGAGCAAGUAACAAAAUGAGA